UUAAUCUUGUAUAAUUUUGUAAUCCAUUCGAGUACGAAGGGCAUGAAUUCAUCUGGCAAGAUGUUUGGCCUAUGGGAUGUCAGUACAAUGGCCUACACCUGUGUUGUUGUAACUGUCAAUUUACGUCUCCUUAUGAUGUGCAACACAAUUACAAGAUGGCAUCACAUUAGCGUUGGAGGGAGCAUAUUAUUAUGGUUCAUUUUUGUAUUUAUCUACUCGGGUAUCCACUUGCACAAAGAACAGGAGGGUAUCUAUUUAGUCAUCAUUGUUCUGAUAAGCACAUUAUACUUCUACCUUGCGCUGCUUCUCGUACCAGUUGCUGCACUUUUUGUUGACUUCCUAUAUCAGGGGGUACAAAGAUGGUUUUCCCCAUACGAUUACCAGAUUGUUCAGGAAAUUCACAAGCACGAAAUCGACAACAGCAGGAUUGGUUUAUUAGAGAUCCGUAACGAGCUUUCUCCAGAUGAAGAAAGGAGAUACGCCAUAAUGCAACUUCCUGGACAGAGAUCAAAACAUACUGGUUUUGCUUUUGAUUCACCCGGUUAUGAGUCAUUUUUCGCAUCUCAGGCUGGCGUGUUGGCACCUCAGAAGGCGUGGGACGUUGCUCGGAGAGCAAGCAUGAUGAAAUCAAGACCAAAGGUACCUAAAAAGAGCUGAGUUCCCUAAAAUUUUGUACAAAUUUUCUUCUUUAACCUUUCUUCUCUCCUAUACAGCUUUUAACAGCUACGUAGAAUUAUUUCACUCUCAUUCUUCG
Molecule: unclassified non-coding RNA, 754 nt
Filed under: Hevea brasiliensis (rubber tree)
Lineage: Eukaryota; Viridiplantae; Streptophyta; Magnoliopsida; Malpighiales; Euphorbiaceae
Source: RNAcentral